UGUAGCUUAGAGGUAGAGCAUUUGCCUCACAUACACAAGGUCCUGGGUUCCAUUCCCAGCA
This 61-nucleotide transfer RNA is filed under the name Cavia porcellus (domestic guinea pig). It matches the Rfam family "tRNA", at positions 6 to 65 of the family's 71-position model. From Rfam's summary of the family: Transfer RNA (tRNA) molecules are approximately 80 nucleotides in length. Their secondary structure includes four short double-helical elements and three loops (D, anti-codon, and T loops). The record is from Rfam by way of RNAcentral. Lineage: Eukaryota; Metazoa; Chordata; Mammalia; Rodentia; Caviidae.